UCAGACGGCUGGACGGCCGCUGGUUCGUGAGUGAUCACGGGCUGGAGGAAAGUCCGGGCUCCACGGGAAUAGGGUGCCGGCUAAUGGCCGGCGGGGGCGACCUCAGGGAAAGUGCCACAGAAAACAAACCGCCGCGGCGUGGCGACACCUCGCGGUAAGGGUGAAACGGUGCGGUAAGAGCGCACCGCGCCCCCAGCAAUGGGGGCGGCAGGGUAAACCCCACCCGGAGCAAGGCCGAAUAGGGGCGGACGGCGCGGCGCCGAAAGGCGCUGGCGCGGGGGCAUUUCCGCCCUUCCGCCCGGGUUGGCCGCGCGAAGCCCGCAGUAAUGCGGGCUCCAGAGGAAUGGCCGUCCAUGCCCCGCAAGGGGCAAGACAGAACCCGGCUUACAGGCCGUCUGACGCU
RNAcentral lists this RNase P RNA (403 nucleotides) under Acetobacteraceae bacterium. RNAcentral describes it as "RNase P RNA component class A". It matches the Rfam family "Bacterial RNase P class A". From Rfam's summary of the family: Ribonuclease P (RNase P) is a ubiquitous endoribonuclease, found in archaea, bacteria and eukarya as well as chloroplasts and mitochondria. Its best characterised activity is the generation of mature 5'-ends of tRNAs by cleaving the 5'-leader elements of precursor-tRNAs. Lineage: Bacteria; Pseudomonadati; Pseudomonadota; Alphaproteobacteria; Acetobacterales; Acetobacteraceae. The record is from RNAcentral.